Molecule: ribosomal RNA, 278 nt
Filed under: uncultured bacterium
Lineage: Bacteria
Description: partial 16S ribosomal RNA
Rfam family: Bacterial small subunit ribosomal RNA
Source: RNAcentral
UGCCAGCAGCCGCGUAAUACGGAGGGUGCAAGCGUUGCUCGGAAUCACUGGGCGUAAAGCGGACGCAGGCGGAACGUUAAGUUGGAUGUGAAAGCCCCGGGCUCAACCCGGGAACUGCAUUCAAAACUGGCGUUCUUGAGUUCAAGAGAGGGUGGUGGGAUUCCUGGUGUAGAGGUGAAAUUCGUUGAUAUCAGGAGGAACACCGGCGGCGAAGGCGGCCACCUGGCUUGAUACUGACGCUGAGGUGGGAAAGCGUGGGGAGCAAACAGGAUUUGAUA